Molecule: long non-coding RNA, 529 nt
Filed under: Hordeum vulgare
Lineage: Eukaryota; Viridiplantae; Streptophyta; Magnoliopsida; Poales; Poaceae
Description: long non-coding RNA (HVUL_LNC008278)
Source: RNAcentral
UCGAAGGGCAUAUCCAUCGCAGGAUUUGCAAGCUGGUUCAUCUGGCGCUCGGCAUACCUGACUCGUGUUGUCAGCUGGAGAAAUAGGCUCUAUGUGGCUAUAAACUCGCUGACCACGAUGAUAUUCGGCCGUGACAUUGGCCGUAUCUAGGGUAUCUACGAAGGGCAUAUCCAUCGCAGGAUUUGCAAGCUGGUUCAUAUGGCGCUCGGCAUACCUGACUCGUGUUGUCAGCUGGAGAAAUAGGUUCUAUGUGGCUAUAAACUCGCUGACCACGAUGAUAUUCGGCCGUGACAUAGGCCGUAUCUAGGAUAUCUAUCUGUAGAUAUCUGGGAUCUGAACCGUACGGACUACAUACGAACGCUAAAAGAAACAUAGGUCUUGAUCACAUUGCAUCUUUUUUCCCUCCUGCUCCUCUCUCUAUCCCUUUCAGACUUGUCAGCCACGUGAGUUCCAAAUGCACAAAUUUUCUUUUGUAAAUUAUGAAUAAAUGAGAAUGAGAUGCAAUUUGAUGGUCUUCAAGUUACUUGGU